This 812-nucleotide ribosomal RNA is filed under the name Saccharomyces cerevisiae (brewer's yeast). RNAcentral's name for it is "eukaryotic LSU rRNA". The stretch from base 374 to 527 matches the Rfam family "5.8S ribosomal RNA". Lineage: Eukaryota; Fungi; Ascomycota; Saccharomycetes; Saccharomycetales; Saccharomycetaceae. The record is from RNAcentral.
AAGGAUCAUUAAAGAAAUUUAAUAAUUUUGAAAAUGGAUUUUUUUGUUUUGGCAAGAGCAUGAGAGCUUUUACUGGGCAAGAAGACAAGAGAUGGAGAGUCCAGCCGGGCCUGCGCUUAAGUGCGCGGUCUUGCUAGGCUUGUAAGUUUCUUUCUUGCUAUUCCAAACGGUGAGAGAUUUCUGUGCUUUUGUUAUAGGACAAUUAAAACCGUUUCAAUACAACACACUGUGGAGUUUUCAUAUCUUUGCAACUUUUUCUUUGGGCAUUCGAGCAAUCGGGGCCCAGAGGUAACAAACACAAACAAUUUUAUCUAUUCAUUAAAUUUUUGUCAAAAACAAGAAUUUUCGUAACUGGAAAUUUUAAAAUAUUAAAAACUUUCAACAACGGAUCUCUUGGUUCUCGCAUCGAUGAAGAACGCAGCGAAAUGCGAUACGUAAUGUGAAUUGCAGAAUUCCGUGAAUCAUCGAAUCUUUGAACGCACAUUGCGCCCCUUGGUAUUCCAGGGGGCAUGCCUGUUUGAGCGUCAUUUCCUUCUCAAACAUUCUGUUUGGUAGUGAGUGAUACUCUUUGGAGUUAACUUGAAAUUGCUGGCCUUUUCAUUGGAUGUUUUUUUUCCAAAGAGAGGUUUCUCUGCGUGCUUGAGGUAUAAUGCAAGUACGGUCGUUUUAGGUUUUACCAACUGCGGCUAAUCUUUUUUUAUACUGAGCGUAUUGGAACGUUAUCGAUAAGAAGAGAGCGUCUAGGCGAACAAUGUUCUUAAAGUUUGACCUCAAAUCAGGUAGGAGUACCCGCUGAACUUAAGCAUAUCAAU